UCCACUAAGAUUAUGUGAAGUGAACGAGUCUGGACAGGCAAAGUUAGGACAGAGCUUUGUACGUUACAAGAUGCGUCGAUCGUGAACACCCGACCCGAGGCCUUCUGCAGACACAAAAAUACUGAAUGAAGUACGCAGUGGCUGCAGUCCACUGUUGGUGGAUUCUGGGUUGGUUCCUCUAUGUCCAUCGGCUCCCCACACAUGCUGCCUGAGGCUACGGCGUGGGCAACUUCCUAGGCAUCCAACUUUUUGCGGUCCUCAUUGUAAUGCUGCCGUUUGGCGCAUAGGUGGCCCUUGCCAAAGGGCUCUCCGCAAUGAUAGCAGAUGUUUUGUCCCUUGGCCAUCUCCCGAACCCAUGUCAGCAUUUCCAUGUGGCUGCCUCGGCCACCAUAGGCGCCACCGUGACUGCCACUGUGGCCUCCGUAGCAGCCACCUCGGUUGUUGUGGUCAGCAUGGUUGCUGGAUCCACCCCGUUGGGUGUGGUUGCCGUGGCCGCCAAUCUGUCAGGGUUGGGGGGGGCAUCGUUAGUGCCUAAAAAGUUAAGUCGCGCAGUUUGCGCCUUGCCUGCCUCGUGGCGCGUUUGUGCACCUUGGGCAUAGUUAACUAAAGUGUCAAAUGCAAACCAGUUAUUGCCGUUGGCAUCCGUGGCGUGUUCCUGCCGCAGUUGCAGUGGCAUACCGUGAAUAAGCCAAGUGCAUAAGUCAAUUUGAGACAUGUUAGGGUCGCCACGUGUAAUUUCACGGAACCGUUGCAUGUAAUUCGGUAUGGACUCACCGGGUUUCAUUGUGUGUGCACCAGCAUGUAGUUGUGUUCGUACAUGGUGAGGGGUGCAACGGUGCAUGUCACCGAAAAACAACACGAAGUCGUCACACAUGCUCUGUAUUGUGAGUGUGCAGCCUUUGCGUGCGAAUAAGUCAUGGUACCACUCUGCAACUUUGCCUGUAACAUAAUAUGGUGCCUGGUCGCUGGCCUGUGCCAGCGGCACUGGUGCAGUGGCCGCCGGCGGUUCUGCAGCCGUUGGCUGCAUGUUGGGGCCUUCUGCUGCUGGUAUGAUGGGUUCGGACGGAGGAGGGGGAGGAGGAGGCGGUGUGGCGGCUUGGGCCUGAAUGUGCGCCUCUAUGCCUUCUAUUCUCCUCGACAGUUGAUCGAGUUUGUCCAGCAGCAGCUUAUUAAAGUCGUCAUCGUGCGGGGCUGCACCUGUUGGGUGUGCUGCAUGGUCCAUAGCGUCAGUUUGCGUGAUAAUACAUGCAACAUUUUGUUGCAGGGACCUAAGCACCAAUCGACAUGGUGGCAACCCCCCCUCAGGCGGGACGAGGUCAGCCGCAGUGGUGUUGUUAUGUUCACGCUCUUUGUGCAACUCACCCUGCCAUGUGCCGCAUUGCGGCUGGAGUGCGGCAGUGGGCAAAGUUACCCUGGUCGGCCCCGUGGCGACAGCCGUUGGCUGCGCAGUACGUGGGCAAGAUGGUCCUGGACCUGUUGGGUCGUGUGCUCCAUUGUUGUCGGCGUCCUGCACCGCAGUGGCUAAUCAUUCCCGCAGUUUGCGGUGUUUCUGCACACAAGAGAGUUCCUCAUUAGCUCCAUUAGGAAGCCUAGUGCAGAGCGAUAGUCUUGCUCGUCACAUAAUUGUCUGACUUUGUCAAACAUGUGCGACGGCGGUGUGAUGCCCCUACGCUGGGCACGCCUCACGUACUUUUCGUACAUUUCCUGGACCUUAUGUACCAGUUCCUUUGCUUUGGAAGGGCUCACCUGGCGCAGCUGAUAGCGCUCAUGGUCGGCCUCCGCCGACUGGGUGCGCAUGGUAUUCCGUGGGUUCGCCAUGAGGGAUAGGUAGAAAAUGUUUGAAAAACUAGAAUGUAUAUGCGGAAGCGAUGGAGUACUCGACUCCAAGGUCGUUUGACCGGUUGGUCUAAGAUACCAAAAUUGUAACAAAGAUCUGCAGUUGGCGAAGCAGUUACAAUGAGAAUUAUCCAACGAUAAAG
This 1979-nucleotide long non-coding RNA is filed under the name Volvox carteri. Its description in RNAcentral is "long non-coding RNA (VCAR_LNC003275)". The record is from RNAcentral. Lineage: Eukaryota; Viridiplantae; Chlorophyta; Chlorophyceae; Chlamydomonadales; Volvocaceae.